AAAGGAUUCUGGGAGAGUGCCAGGUGAAAGAUUCGCCUGGGAAAAUGUGGCAAGACAGGCAAAUUGUACCUGAGCACAGAUAUCUCUGGAUAAAAUGGUUAAGGCUCCUGGAAUGCCAACUGUACAACCAAUGUGGUGGCCAGUAGUAUAUCCCAGUACAUCUAUCAAGAAUCCUAUGUCACAGAUGGAGGUAGAUUCAUGGAGCUCUCACAAGGCAGAUAAGGAAGAGGCACUCAACAGUAAGCAACAGGUUCUGCCUCAGUCUAACAUCAGUGGAAGAUUCCUGGCUGAUUUGCAGUAAAGUGAUAGAAUUUUGCCUAUCUGGGGCUGAUAUGACACACUGAUAUCUGAUCAUACUAAGUGUGUUAUCACAGAAGACAAGAUGGGAGAAGAAACCACCUCCCUAAAGGCAGACUGAUUUCUUCAUCAAUAUUUCUGAUGACUACUUCAACAAUCUCUCUAGGAAUUCAGCUGUCUACAUUCAGUCCUGCCUCUUAGACACAUGAGAUUUCUCCGCAUAUGAAGAGAAGCCAAUUCUGUCCUUCUGAUGAGGUGUAUUGUCUGUAGAGACUGUUCUCAUACAUCCUGGCAAGCUACUAUUCUCCACGCAGAUUCCCAUGAAGUUGGAAUUCAGAAGAAUCACUCCAAGAAAGACGUAAAAUAUGAAGAGCUAUAAAAGGACUAGGAAAUGCUCCUUUGAUUUGAGCUGCACACUAUUGAUUGUAUAUGCUCAGAGAUGAUCUGGAAUAGAUUGACUCUGUGCAGAACUAGAUUUAGGCAGGCUGUGUCUAAAAGACAGACAAGAAGAGCCCUCAGUCAUCCAGGUCCCUUUGCUUACAUGAGUCCAACCUAAUGUAAGAAGCCCCAGUUCUUCUUGUAUGAAGAAGAGCUCCUUCCCAUUGUGAGUAUAACAAAAAUCUGGGCCUCCUUUCUGGGGAGGAAUGAUGAUGUGAGUAACGUGAUACUCCUCUCCAACCUGCCAAGAGAAAGCAACUUGUCACAA
Long non-coding RNA from Mastomys coucha (southern multimammate mouse), 1003 nucleotides. RefSeq lists it as uncharacterized. Lineage: Eukaryota; Metazoa; Chordata; Mammalia; Rodentia; Muridae. The record is from RefSeq and is a predicted model, not a curated record. The transcript is spliced from 5 exons.